This 439-nucleotide ribosomal RNA is filed under the name uncultured bacterium. RNAcentral describes it as "partial 16S ribosomal RNA". It matches the Rfam family "Bacterial small subunit ribosomal RNA", at positions 339 to 795 of the family's 1533-position model. The record is from RNAcentral.
CUACGGGUGGCAGCAGUGGGGGAUAUUGCACAAUGGGGGGAACCCUGAUGCAGCGACGCCGCGGGGGUGAAGAAGCGCCUCGGCGCGUAAAGCCCUGUCAGCAGGGAAGAAAAUGACGGUACCUGAAGAAGAAGCCCCGGCUAACUACGUGCCAGCAGCAGCGGUCAUACGUAGGGGGCAAGCGUUAUCCGGAUUUACUGGGUGUAAAGGGGGCGCAGACGGCGAUGCAAGCCAGGAGUGAAAGCCCGGGGCCCAACCCCGGGACUGCUCUUGGAACUGCGUGGCUGGAGUGGAGGAGGGGCAGGCGGAAUUCCUGGUGUAGCGGUGAAAUGCGUAGAUAUCAGGAGGAACACCGGUGGCGAAGGCGGCCUGCUGGACUGCAACUGACGUUGAGGCCCGAAAGCGUGGGGAGCGAACAGGAUUAGAUACCCCUGUAGUC